Molecule: long non-coding RNA, 937 nt
Organism: Grus americana (Whooping crane)
Lineage: Eukaryota; Metazoa; Chordata; Aves; Gruiformes; Gruidae
Exons: 8
Source: RefSeq, a predicted model, not a curated record
GCUUUGUUGGGAGGGGGAGAAACUGUAAUUCUGGCUGAAAGCUUGGGUAACAUAGUCCAAAUACAGCAAGAUUUCACAAUACCGUAUUUUCUGGGAACCUUUCUGAACUGUCAUCAGUCAGAAGAUUCCUCCGGAAGAGGCUUCCCUUGUAAAAGAAAAGUCUGAAAAGAUGCUCGCAGAACAUGUAAACGUGAUCUGACAGUGAGUGUAACAGCCUGAGCACGCACGCAUGGUUGUAGGAGAGAGGGAAGCAGCCUGGUUGAAGUGAAGUAAGAGACAAGCCUGCAGGCUUUCAGUCCUUACAUCUGAAUGGGUAUUGAAAUCCAGCCCCUGAACCCUGUUGUAUCCAAUAUAGGACAUCCAAGAUUUGCUACAGCUAUACCGCUCACAAAUUCUGUCUGUCUUCGUGGUCAAUGUGAGAUAUCUUCCUGGGCCUGACCACUGGGAAGCUUGUCUUCAGAGCGCAAGCACUCAAGCAGAGGGAAGAUGGACAACAUAUCACAAACAAGCAAAGGAAUCCCGUAGUGAAUGACAUCAUUGCUAAUAUCCUGUGGAUGGAGAAAACCACACCUAGACCUGCUGAAUACCAUGCGCCUGUAGCUGAGGAAUAUCUAGUUUUCAUACCGCUCCAACUCCACGGACUCCCAUGAAGUUAAGCCAGCAAAACUUCCCGUGAUGUUUAGCUCAUUAAUGAAAUAAAGCAGUUGCCGAUACACUCUGCAGCACUCAUGGAAAGGCUCAGUGAACCAGUUCUUGUCCGCACAUUUCCAAGAGUCCAGAAGCUGCACAGGCCGUGGCCAAUUCAGAUCUCUCCUCCUCUUUCUACCUGAGGUUUGAUGCAGAGGGUCCUCGGAAUCCGGUUAAGUGAAGUUCUUGAUAUGUUCAUGAAGAGCUGCUCCUUCUGCCAUCAUCUCACUAACACAUAAAUAAGUAUUUG